Molecule: small RNA, 122 nt
Filed under: Salmonella enterica subsp. enterica
Lineage: Bacteria; Pseudomonadati; Pseudomonadota; Gammaproteobacteria; Enterobacterales; Enterobacteriaceae
Description: partial RtT sRNA
Rfam family: RtT RNA
About the family: This family represents a bacterial cis-regulatory element known as RtT RNA. The exact function of RtT is unknown although it is thought that it may be involved in changing the cellular response in relation to amino acid starvation.
Source: RNAcentral
AUAUCUCUCUGUACGGGAAGGAUGAGAAGCUUCGACCAAGGUUCGAUUCGAGCGUCAGCGAGAAAGCGUUGCCGCAGGCAACGACCCGAAGGGCGAAGCGCGCAGCGCUGAGUCAUCCUUCC